GAUGAACGCUGACAGAAUGCUUAACACAUGCAAGUCGAUGGGGAAGUGGUGCUUGCACCCUGGCAACCAUGGCGGACGGGUGAGUAACGCGUAAGGGACUUACCUGCAGGACUGGGAUAACAGGGGGAAACUCCUGACAAGACCGGAUAAUGUCAUGGAGCUGCAUGGCUUUAUGAUGAAAGGAGACGCCUGCGGAGAGCCUUGCGUCCUAUUAGCUAGUUGGUGAGGUAAUGGCUCACCAAGGCGAAGAUAGGUAGCCGGCCUGAGAGGGUGGACGGCCACAAGGGGACUGAGAUACGGCCCUGACGCCUACGGGAGGCAGCAGUGGGGAAUAUUGGACAAUGGGGGCAACACUGAUCCAGCAAUUCUGUGUGCACGAAGAAGGUUUUCGGAGUGUAAAGUGCUUUCAGCAGGGAAGAAGUAAGUGACGGUACCUGCAGAAGAAGCGACGGCUAAAUACGUG
Molecule: ribosomal RNA, 463 nt
Filed under: uncultured bacterium
Lineage: Bacteria
Description: partial 16S ribosomal RNA
Rfam family: Bacterial small subunit ribosomal RNA
Source: RNAcentral